GACGAACGCUGGCGGCGUGCUUAACACAUGCAAGUCGAACGGAAAGGCCUCUUUCGGGGGGUACUCGAGUGGCGAACGGGUGAGUAACACGUGAGUAACCUGCCCUUGACUUUGGGAUAACUUCAGGAAACUGGGGCUAAUACCGGAUAGGAGCUCCUGCUGCAUGGUGGGGGUUGGAAAGUUUCGGCGGUUGGGGAUGGACUCGCGGCUUAUCAGCUUGUUGGUGGGGUAGUGGCUUACCAAGGCUUUGACGGGUAGCCGGCCUGAGAGGGUGACCGGCCACAUUGGGACUGAGAUACGGCCCAGACUCCUACGGGAGGCAGCAGUGGGGAAUAUUGCACAAGGGGUGGAAGCCUGAUGCAGCAACGCCGUGUGCGGGAGGACGGCCUUCGGGUUGUAAACCGCUUUCGCCCAUGACGAAGCUUUGUGUGACGGUAGUGGGUAAAGAAGCACCGGCUAACUACGUG
This 467-nucleotide ribosomal RNA is filed under the name uncultured bacterium. RNAcentral's name for it is "partial 16S ribosomal RNA". It matches the Rfam family "Bacterial small subunit ribosomal RNA", at positions 28 to 507 of the family's 1533-position model. The record is from RNAcentral.